RNAcentral lists this ribosomal RNA (474 nucleotides) under Flavobacterium sp. DB2.3-9. RNAcentral describes it as "bacterial SSU rRNA". It matches the Rfam family "Bacterial small subunit ribosomal RNA", at positions 11 to 486 of the family's 1533-position model. Lineage: Bacteria; Pseudomonadati; Bacteroidota; Flavobacteriia; Flavobacteriales; Flavobacteriaceae. The record is from RNAcentral.
GUUUGAUCCUGGCUCAGGAUGAACGCUAGCGGCAGGCUUAACACAUGCAAGUCGAGGGGUAUAGUUCUUCGGAACUAGAGACCGGCGCACGGGUGCGUAACGCGUAUGCAAUCUACCUUUUACAGAGGGAUAGCCCAGAGAAAUUUGGAUUAAUACCUCAUAGCAUAGCAGUUUCGCAUGAAACCACUAUUAAAGUCACAACGGUAAAAGAUGAGCAUGCGUCCCAUUAGCUAGUUGGUAAGGUAACGGCUUACCAAGGCUACGAUGGGUAGGGGUCCUGAGAGGGAGAUCCCCCACACUGGUACUGAGACACGGACCAGACUCCUACGGGAGGCAGCAGUGAGGAAUAUUGGACAAUGGGCGCAAGCCUGAUCCAGCCAUGCCGCGUGCAGGAUGACGGUCCUAUGGAUUGUAAACUGCUUUUGUACGAGAAGAAACACUCCUAUGUAUAGGAGCUUGACGGUAUCGUAAGAA